Molecule: long non-coding RNA, 718 nt
Organism: Zalophus californianus (California sea lion)
Lineage: Eukaryota; Metazoa; Chordata; Mammalia; Carnivora; Otariidae
Exons: 3
Source: RefSeq, a predicted model, not a curated record
GGGGAUACAGUGGUGAACAAGAGAGGUGAAGUCUGUCCUCAGCAGGAAGAUGAGAAAUCUGCUAUGAUGAGAAAUGUGCUAUUUUGAGAAUUUAAAUGAGCUGAUGGGUUGGUGUAAACAGAUGAAUAAAGUCUUCAAAAAUAAAUAAAUAAAUGAUAAGAAGGAGCUGGCCAUGUGAGAACCAUCGGGAAGGGCAUCCCAGGCAGAGGGAGAGCAGUCCUGGCUUCAAGGGAGUGAUGAUGGACUCAUUCACUUUUUCAUUCAACAAACAUGUGUUCAGCACUGUGCAUCUUCCACAGUGAAGAACAAAGAGAUGACAGUUCCUGGCCCAUGGUGAAAUGCUCCGUGAACUUCAGCAAUUAUUGGUGUCACUACCCAGCUACCCAGCGGUCCGGUGACAUCCACCAAAGCCUUGAAGAGAAAAAAUACUGUAUUUAUGAGAACGACCUGCCUUCCAAAAUGGAACAGAAGAGAAUAGAAAAUGUCAGAACUCAGUGCACAGAGAUAGGAUAAAUAUUACUUCAUGAAAUUUUUGCUUCAGUUCUGAACCUGGGUUAGACUACAUUACAAUGUGAAAAAUAAAUGCUCUGAUUCAUGGUCAAAAUGCUUGAAAUUAUGUGGCUAUAUGUGAUGUUUGAAACCUGUCUUCUUUUUGUUUUUCGUUCUUCUUUUUUGGAAGUCCCAUGUUAAUUACGGCAUAUCCAAAUAUUGAACUUAG